RNAcentral lists this long non-coding RNA (1122 nucleotides) under Cyanistes caeruleus (blue tit). RNAcentral describes it as "lncRNA (ENSCCEG00000023467.1)". The record is from RNAcentral. Lineage: Eukaryota; Metazoa; Chordata; Aves; Passeriformes; Paridae.
AUUUUGCCUCACAAAAAGCAGCUGCUGUGUGUGUGAUUUCUGGGAACCCUUGCAAUACCUCGCAAUACUUCGUGUGCUCUAGUGACAUUUAAAUAUACGUUAUUUUCAGGAAACUGAACUGGGCUCUUUCCUUACUUUCUCUGAAGGGUUUUAUAAUUAUUUUAUAAUUACUGAAGAUAAUUAUUAACAAAAGGUGUACUCAGAUGAUUAAUGUAAUCUCUCUGCUUAACCUAUACUCCUAUCCAAGUAAACAUUUAUUUCUUGUUUAAAUUAAGAGCAAAUAAAAGCCUACGUUGUGUAACCUGAAGAAAAAUUGAAACAGGAGCAGCUCAAGUUUUCCCCAAAUUAAAUUUCUGUGGUAUUUUGACCUAUUCUGCAAGUCCUCUCAACUCUCCUCUUUGAAAUGCAAGCAAGGUUAACGAAGAAGAAUAAAACUCUGAGAUGGAAGUGCUGUGCCAUUGCUACUAAAGAAGCCCUGACCACCCCACAGCUCAUUGACUGAAGCCUGACCUUGCUACAUUCAUGACCCGCACAGUGCCCCAACCAAGCUUUGUUUGGUCUCCAGACAAAAAAAUCUACAUUAAAUGGACCAAAAAGGAAGAAGUCUGAAAAUUGGCAGCUAUCAGCAAAUUGAAGACAGGGAAACUUUCAGAAGCAUUUGCUUUCUAAGAUGCUGUUGGCUGCAGUCUUCUUGAUAUGAGAAUUUUAUUUGCUUCUUGCAUUUUGUUGGAAGCUUUUGACUGAGAAUACAAGAAAAAAAUAUUUGAAUUGCUUUUGGAUUUCUUACAGAGGUUUUAUCUUAUUUUUAAAAUCUGUGAGCUGGAUGUGAAUUUCAUUCCUUCUCAUUUUUCCUUUUGCCGCUGAAUAUGUUUGUAUCCAGCACAAAGUGGAAUGCAAAAUAAUUGAGUAAUUUGUAAUACUGAAUAUUAAUACUGAAAAUAACACAACCCCCAAUAUUCUCAGCAGUUCCAUUUGUAACUAAAGAUUUGACCUGUAGUAGAGAUAACAGAGUAUUUUGAUAUUCUCAGAGUUCUAUGUUUGCAUUAAAACUUUAAAAAUCUGUCCCAAUCUGCUGAGAUUUUUACUUCAUGAUGAUUUAUUCUCAAUGACACCUUAGUUUUC